RNAcentral lists this transfer RNA (72 nucleotides) under Marmota monax (woodchuck). RNAcentral's name for it is "tRNA.Gly". Lineage: Eukaryota; Metazoa; Chordata; Mammalia; Rodentia; Sciuridae. The record is from RNAcentral.
GGGGAUGUGGCUAAGUGGUAUAACACUUGCCUACCAUGAGCAAGUCCCUGGGUUCAGUCCCCAGCAUCACAA